RNAcentral lists this long non-coding RNA (393 nucleotides) under Homo sapiens (human). RNAcentral's name for it is "non-protein coding lnc-FAM153A-3:5". Lineage: Eukaryota; Metazoa; Chordata; Mammalia; Primates; Hominidae. The record is from RNAcentral.
CGAACACCACAAGGUGGGUUGUACAACAGACCAUGCCUGCAUAGACUGAAGUACUUCUUACGACCUCCGGUUCAUCAUCUGUUCUUUCAGACGCUAAUACCGGAUAAAGACACGAGAGAACAAGGGUCAAAAAUUAGAACCCAUCCCUCAUCGAAGACUAAGAAUGGUAACAAAUACCAUUGAAGAGAAUUUUCCCCUGGGGACUGUGCAGUUUUUGAUGGACUUUGUGUCACCCCAGCAUUACCCACCGAAAAUCUUGCUCAGUGGCUCUGAGACUGUGGAUGUCCUAAAGGAGGCCUACAUGCUUCUCAUGAAAAUUCAACGGCUACAUCCAGCCAAUGCCAAGACAGUGGAGUGGGACUGGAAACUGCUCACCUAUGUCAUGGAGGAAGA